AGUGAACGCUGGCGGUAGGCCUGACACAUGCAAGUCGAACGGCAGCACAGUAAGAGCUUGCUCUUACGGGUGGCGAGUGGCGGACGGGUGAGGAAUACAUCGGAAUCUACUUUUUCGUGGGGGAUAACGUAGGGAAACUUACGCUAAUACCGCAUACGACCUACGGGUGAAAGCAGGGGAUCUUCGGACCUUGCGCGAUUGAAUGAGCCGAUGUCGGAUUAGCUAGUUGGCGGGGUAAAGGCCCACCAAGGCGACGAUCCGUAGCUGGUCUGAGAGGAUGAUCAGCCACACUGGAAGUGAGACACGGUCCAGACUCCUGCGGGAGGCAGCAGUGGGGAAUAUUGGACAAUGGGCGCAAGCCUGAUCCAGCCAUACCGCGUGGGUGAAGAAGGCCUUCGGGUUGUAAAGCCCUUUUGUUGGGAAAGAAAAGCAGCAGGUUAAUACCACGCUGUUCUGACGGUACCCAAAGAAUAAGCACCGGCUAACUUCGUG
Molecule: ribosomal RNA, 492 nt
Filed under: uncultured bacterium
Lineage: Bacteria
Description: partial 16S ribosomal RNA
Rfam family: Bacterial small subunit ribosomal RNA
Source: RNAcentral